CGUGUAGGCGGUUCGGUAAGUGGGAUGUGAAAUGCCCGGGCUCACCCCGGGACCUGCAUCUCAUACUGCUGAGCUUGAGUACAGGAGAGGGUGGGGGAAUUCCUGGUGUAGCGGUGAAAUGCGUAGAUAUCAGGAGGAACACCGGUGGCGAAGGCGCCCACCUGGCCUGCUACUGACGCUGAUGCGCGAAAGCUAGGGGAGCAAACGGGAUUAGAUACCCCGGUAGUCCUAGCCGUAAACGGUGAUCACUAGGUGUUGGGAGCAUCGACCCUUCCAGUGCCGCAGCUAACGCAUUAAGUGAUCCGCCUGGGGAGUACGGCCGCAAGGUUGAA
RNAcentral lists this ribosomal RNA (332 nucleotides) under uncultured Desulfomonile sp. RNAcentral describes it as "bacterial SSU rRNA". It matches the Rfam family "Bacterial small subunit ribosomal RNA", at positions 568 to 898 of the family's 1533-position model. Lineage: Bacteria; Pseudomonadati; Thermodesulfobacteriota; Desulfomonilia; Desulfomonilales; Desulfomonilaceae. The record is from RNAcentral.